UACGUAGGGGGCAAGCGUUGUCCGGAAUUAUUGGGCGUAAAGAGCGUGUAGGCGGUCCGGUAAGUCCGCUGUGAAAGUCGGGGGCUCAACCCUCGGAUGCCGGUGGAUACUGUCGGGCUUGAGUACGGAAGAGGCGAGUGGAAUUCCUGGUGUAGCGGUGGAAUGCGCAGAUAUCAGGAGGAACACCAAUAGCGAAGGCAGCUCGCUGGGACGUUACUGACACUGAGGCGCGAAAGCGUGGGGAGCGAACAGG
RNAcentral lists this ribosomal RNA (253 nucleotides) under uncultured bacterium. RNAcentral's name for it is "partial 16S ribosomal RNA". It matches the Rfam family "Bacterial small subunit ribosomal RNA", at positions 524 to 776 of the family's 1533-position model. The record is from RNAcentral.